GUGCAGCAAUGGUGUACAGAAGGAGGGGAAUAUCUCCCGAUGUCCAAACUGCUUGACGGUUGGACCGAGGAGAAAAGGAGAAGAGUGGACACUGGCACAAUUGAUAAGUUUUACCACCAUAACUAUUCCAGCAAGACUUACCGCUCUAUGGUGGAAGUUCAAAGUUAUAUUAAGCAUCACAGCGAUCCACAUAAAAAGAAUUCUAUUACACUUGGAGACUCGCAAGAAAGAAAUCAGGCCUUUGCAUGAUGAAGAAGACGUGACAUCAAAAAUAAACAACAUAUUGUCAAAUUGGGACAAGGAAUAUGCCGACUUUCAAGACAUGGAU
This is a long non-coding RNA of Helianthus annuus (common sunflower), 328 nucleotides long. RefSeq lists it as uncharacterized. The record is from RefSeq and is a predicted model, not a curated record. NCBI's taxonomy places the organism in Eukaryota, Viridiplantae, Streptophyta, Magnoliopsida, Asterales, Asteraceae. The transcript has 4 exons.